UACGUAGGGUCCAAGCGUUAUCCGGAUUUACUGGGCGUAAAGAGUGUGUAGGCGGUCUGUUAAGUGGGGUGUGAAAUGCUGGGGCUCAACUCCAGCGCUAUGCUCCAAACUGACAGACUAGAGUACUGAAGAGGCAGGCGGAAUUGAUAGUGUAGGGGUGAAAUCCGUAGAUAUUAUCAAGAACACCAAUGGCGAAGGCAGCCUGCUGGGCAGUUACUGACGCUCAGGCGCGACAGCGUGGGGAGCAAACAGG
Molecule: ribosomal RNA, 253 nt
Filed under: uncultured bacterium
Lineage: Bacteria
Description: partial 16S ribosomal RNA
Rfam family: Bacterial small subunit ribosomal RNA
Source: RNAcentral